GAAACGUUGCGUUUUUAUUCUUAGAAGGGAAGUUAAAAAAGUAUCCGCCGCUAAAUCCUAUCCAAUUCCCCGUCAUUAAUUUCACUUCAAAGAAAAGAAAAAAAAAUAAAAACCUCUUUCUAUGUUUCUAAAGGAGCCAUAUUUGAAACUAUGGAGCUGGUGAAUCUUCUGGGCUUCGUUUCGUAUGAGAGAAAUUAUAAAUGGUACUUAUAAGUUUUACAUCCGCAAGCCUCCUCAAAUUUGGUUUGAGUCCUCAAACUAGACUUUCACAUAGAAAGUAUUUUAUUUCAUGAUCAUCACCUGGAUAUCUUAACAUCCAGGCUGUGCAAGAGAAUGGAGGUCCUCGAAGACUGGUUGACAUCAUAAGGCUUGUGCCAGAUAUCUCUAGGAAUUACUUUCGAAGUCCUUCUCGAAGGGCACUUUUUUGGUGGAAUCUCCCUGUUGGGAGGUUUUUAUGUUGCACAAACAAUCCCUCUGUCCUUUGGAGCUUUAGGAGUCAAUGAUGUGAUUGCAGCAGUACUAUGAGUGCUACUGACAGAGUAUGUGACUAGGUUUUAUUACAGCCGUCCAAAGUAAGUAUGUAAACUGUCUUCUGCCUACAUGUUGGUGAAGCAAACUCUCAGACCAAAAGUUGAGAGGUACCCUAAUUUUUAUGCUGUAAAGCUAGUAACUUUGUGAUCCAGACAUACGCCCCUCAUCAUGGUAACUUUUGUACUGAAUUGGAUGUGGUCUUUUGCUGUUUUGUAUUCUAACAUGGAGAAGCUGCAGUAGUAGAUCUGCAGUUGUGACUUGUGUUGUCAUAAUUCCACAUCCUUUCUCAUCUUGAUCCUGUUAUAGACAGCUUAUAAAGACAUAUACCGUUGGAGGCAUAAAAUGUUUAGAAACAAAGCUGCUUAAUAGUUCUAUGAGAUGUGGUCGUGGCUUGGAAUAUAAUUCCUACCAGCUUUGUAAGCUUUAUUUAAUACUGUGCCAAUGAAUGGUGUAAGAGUUCUUUUCAUAUUAUCAUGCAUCCCGGUUCCCAAAAUUUUGUUUCUCUAAUAGCCAUCAGUAAGUAAUGACGUUCCAUGUCCUCUUCAGAACCAUUGUAUUUAUGAUAUGACCAAAUCUUGUUGCAUUAUUUGUUGUCGACCUUGAGGUUGCUCCUCAAUAAUGUCCCGCACCCUAAUCUUCCCCAAGAGACGAACUUUGGUGGUCUAUCAACUAUUAUGGUGGUACUCUCCAUCAAUCUUUAAAGGUGGUAUUUUACUGCAGUUUUCUGGAUACCUUAGGCUGUUCAGGCCUUUGGUCAUGAGCAAGCUCCACUUCAUGAGUCAUGAUGUGUCUCUUUAGGAAGAUUUAUGAACUGGUCCUGAGUUACACCGUCUUUAAAGGUGCAUCGCUCUUUAAUUUCUCAAGCAGCAAUACCUCACGGCAAAGGCCGAACGCUUAUUGUUGUCCCUCUUAUGUAACACUUUAAAUUUCAUAGAGUGAACAUGAUAGGGAAAUGGUGCUCAAAACUGCUUCAUUAGGAUUUGUAUUUCCUUAAAUCGUUUAUUAGAAUUGGGGUAUUCGUUUAUUAGAAUUGGGGUAUCUGAAAUGCAUAGCAUGCUUCUUCUUUACCAAGAGAUAUAAGCGAAACCAUUCUGAAAUACAAAAUAAGGAGCGGAGAUACCAUACAAGUAACAGGGUUUAUUGUAUUCUUAUGCAUUAAGUAAUGACUGAAUUGUCGCGUUGCAAUCUUUUCCUCAGCACGUUUUGACAAUUUUACCCCUUUUAAAACAUAUUCAUUGGAGUUAUUUUUACCUCUUAAAAAGAAAAAAAACAAAAAGCAAUUCUAGUUGUGGUCCUAUGAUUUAAUGGUGUUUUAUAUG
This is a non-coding RNA of Durio zibethinus, 1850 nucleotides long. NCBI's taxonomy places the organism in Eukaryota, Viridiplantae, Streptophyta, Magnoliopsida, Malvales, Malvaceae. The record is from RefSeq and is a predicted model, not a curated record.